ACGGGAGGCAGCAGUGGGGAAUAUUGGGCAAUGGGCGAAAGCCUGACCCAGCAACGCCGCGUGAAGGAAGAAGGUCUUCGGAUUGUAAACUUCUUUUAUGAGGGACGAAGGACGUGACGGUACCUCGUGAAUAAGCCACGGCUAACUACGUGCCAGCAGCCGCGGUAAUACGUAGGUGGCAAGCGUUAUCCGGAUUUACUGGGUGUAAAGGGCGCGUAGGCGGGAGAGCAAGUCAGAUGUGAAAUCCAUGGGCUUAACCCAUGAACUGCAUUUGAAACUGUUCUUCUUGAGUGCUGGAGAGGUAGACGGAAUUCCUUGUGUAGCGGUGAAAUGCGUAGAUAUAAGGAAGAACACCAGUGGCGAAGGCGGUCUACUGGACAGUAACUGACGCUGAGGCGCGAAAGCGUGGGGAGCAAACAGGAUUAGAUACCCUGGUA
RNAcentral lists this ribosomal RNA (437 nucleotides) under uncultured Oscillospiraceae bacterium. RNAcentral's name for it is "partial 16S ribosomal RNA". It matches the Rfam family "Bacterial small subunit ribosomal RNA", at positions 341 to 792 of the family's 1533-position model. The record is from RNAcentral. Lineage: Bacteria; Bacillati; Bacillota; Clostridia; Eubacteriales; Oscillospiraceae.